UAAAAAUGUUUAAACACCGUUCUCUAACAGCUUAAGCUUUUAGAGUACAACGGUUGUUUCACAUGGUAUCAGAGCAGGAGGUUCUGAGUUCGAGUCACGCCAGGCUCCUAGUAUAUUAAUUUCCUCCAAUUUAAUUCAAGCCCACGUCAUGGGCCGAUUAAAAAGUCUCGAGCCCAGACGUGAGGGGGAGUGUUAAAUAUAAAAAUGUUUAAACACCGUUCUCUAACAGCUUAAGCUUUUAGAGUACAACGGUUGUUUCACA
This 262-nucleotide long non-coding RNA is filed under the name Ananas comosus (pineapple). RNAcentral describes it as "long non-coding RNA (ACOM_LNC034511)". The record is from RNAcentral. Lineage: Eukaryota; Viridiplantae; Streptophyta; Magnoliopsida; Poales; Bromeliaceae.